GAAGGUUGAAGGUCAUGAUGAUCAUCAAGAAGGAACUUCAGCAUCAUCAUCAUCAUCUCAAUCAAAAAUCAUAAAAGGACAGUGGGAAAGGAGGCUUCAAACUGACAUUCACACUGCUAAACAAGCUCUUUGUGAUGCUUUGUCACUUGAUACAACUCCAAAUAACAAAAACAACAACAAUAAUCCACCUCCUCAUGAUCAGGAUCAACAACCACCAUCAGUUCAAACACCUACUACCUAUGCUUCAAGUGCUGAAAACAUUGCUAAGUUGCUUCAAAAUUGGAUGAAAAAUUCACCCAAAUCGACCUCGUCUAGUAGCUCGAAAAUUACUCCUAUGUCAUCCUUGA
Molecule: unclassified non-coding RNA, 347 nt
Filed under: Hevea brasiliensis (rubber tree)
Lineage: Eukaryota; Viridiplantae; Streptophyta; Magnoliopsida; Malpighiales; Euphorbiaceae
Source: RNAcentral